This 381-nucleotide ribosomal RNA is filed under the name uncultured bacterium. RNAcentral's name for it is "bacterial SSU rRNA". It matches the Rfam family "Bacterial small subunit ribosomal RNA", at positions 30 to 407 of the family's 1533-position model. The record is from RNAcentral.
AUUGAACGCUGGCGGCAGGCCUAACACAUGCAAGUCGAACGGUAACAGGAAGAAGCUUGCUUCUUUGCUGACGAGUGGCGGACGGGUGAGUAAUGUCUGGGAAACUGCCUGAUGGAGGGGGAUAACUACUGGAAACGGUAGCUAAUACCGCAUAACGUCGCAAGACCAAAAAGGGGGACCUUCGGGCCUCUUGCCAUCGGAUGUGCCCAGAUGGGAUUAGCUAGUAGGUGGGUAACGGCUCACCUAGGCGACGAUCCCUAGCUGGUCUGAGAGGAUGACCAGCCACACUGGAACUGAGACACGGUCCAGACUCCUACGGGAGGCAGCAGUGGGAAUAUUGCACAAUGGGCGCAAGCCUGAUGCAGCCAUGCCGCGUGUAUG